This is a non-coding RNA of Trichonephila clavipes, 86 nucleotides long. NCBI's taxonomy places the organism in Eukaryota, Metazoa, Arthropoda, Arachnida, Araneae, Nephilidae. The record is from the annotation of a GenBank genome assembly.
GUCAGGAUGGUCGAGUGGUGGUCUAAGGCGAAUCCUGCGUUCAUUUUUUGACUGUCGAAGGCGUGGGUUCGAAUCCACUUCUGACA